This 25-nucleotide non-coding RNA is filed under the name Rattus norvegicus (Norway rat). The record is from RNAcentral. Lineage: Eukaryota; Metazoa; Chordata; Mammalia; Rodentia; Muridae.
CCCACACAGGAUGGAACUGCUACAC